GUUGAGUUUGAUGAUGGCUCUGAAUGAACGCUAUUCAAAUGCUUCGAUACAUGCUAAUCGAACGACUAGUCUUAGUUGCACCUAGCUUUACUUUUGCAUUGUCCAGGUGCUCUUUAACUAGUAGUGGUGUACAGGUGAGUAUAAGAUAAUCUAACUACCUAGGAGUAAGGAUUAAGAUCCCUUAUAUUAACAAAGAAGUAAAUCUUCGCUCGUAGACGUUGAUAUAUCUCGUGUGUGGUAGUAGUUAAGAUAACAGCCUAACUAGCUAAACGCACGUAGUCGUAACUGAGAGGUUGAUCGACCACAGUGGGCAUGAACAAAGCCCAUGACGAUUUUGAGUCACAGCAGUAAGGAAUUUUGGUCAAUAGCCUAACGGCUGAACCAGCAACUUGAAAGAAUGUAUAGGGGAAACCCUACUUGCAUCAUGAAAACUGAUGUAGGAUCCCUUUAGGGCAUAAAGUUCUAGCCAGUACUAUGAUAAUGACAUUUUCUGGCUAUGUGUCUUGACCAAAUUACGUGCCAGCUGUCGCGGUAAUACGUAGAAGACUAGUGUUAUUCAUGUUUAAUCGGUUUAAAGGGUACCUAGACGGCAGAUCAAGCCUUCAAUAAGGGACUAAUCUAGCUAGAGUUACUUAUGAGGAAGCUAUAAAGUACUGCUGGUGUAGAGAUGAAAUUCUGUCAUACCUCUUCUCUUAGUUAGGGAAACGACGGCACAGGUAAAGGCGAAGGCGUCUUCUUAUGGGAUAACUGACGUUGAGGGACGAAGGCUUAAUGUAGCAAACAGGAUUAGUUACCCUAAUAACCUAAGCAGAAAAUGAUGAAUGUCAUAGGUUAGGGCCUCUUAUCCUAUAAAUGAAAGUGUAAGCAUUCCACCUCAAGAGUAAUUUGGCAACAUUGGAACUGAAAUCAUUAGACCGUUUCUGAAAACAGUAGUGAGGUAUGUUAUUUACAAGCGUUGCACGGCUGUCUUCAGUUAAUGUCGCGAGACUAUGGUUAGUUCCAUUAAAUUAACGUAAACCCUUGCCCUAGUUUAUAUAUAAGGCAGUUCACCGCUAUAUUGGAUGUGAUAAUAGGGACUAAGACAAGUCAUCAUGGCCUAAUAUUGUGGGCUAUAGACGUGCUACGUAGGCCUAACAAAAGGGUGUGAAAUCGUGAGAUUGAGCUAAUCCCCCAAAUCUGGACAUAAACUGACAAUGGAUUGUAGUCUGUAACUCGACUGCAUGAAAAAGGAAUUACUAGUAAUCGUGUAUAAGUAUGGCACGGUGAAUCCAAUCUCAGAUAGGUACUAACCACUCGUCAGGCGCCGAAAGAAGUAUGUGCAAUAAGUUUGGCUACUGUCUAUUUAUAAUCCUUAUAUGGAUAACUUGGUCCAGAAACUUAGGCAGGAUGUCUUCGUAUGCGUGACUUUGAUUGGUGUUAAGUCGAAAUACGGUUCGUGUAGCGGAAGUUGCACGGGAUUAAUUAAUAUUAA
This 1471-nucleotide non-coding RNA is filed under the name Usnea ceratina. Its description in RNAcentral is "SSU rRNA". It matches the Rfam family "Bacterial small subunit ribosomal RNA". The record is from RNAcentral. Lineage: Eukaryota; Fungi; Ascomycota; Lecanoromycetes; Lecanorales; Parmeliaceae.